CGUAAUAGCUCACUGGUCGAGUCGGCCUGCGCGGAAGAUGUAACGGGGCUAAACCAUGCACCGAAGCUGCGGCAGCGACACUAUGUGUUGUUGGGUAGGGGAGCGUUCUGUAAGCCGUUGAAGGUGUCCUGUGAGGGGUGCUGGAGGUAUCAGAAGUGCGAAUGCUGACAUAAGUAACGAUAAUGCGGGUGAAAAACCCGCACGCCGGAAGACCAAGGGUUCCUGUCCAACGUUAAUCGGGGCAGGGUGAGUCGACCCCUAAGGC
RNAcentral lists this ribosomal RNA (265 nucleotides) under Citrobacter freundii. Its description in RNAcentral is "partial 23S ribosomal RNA". It matches the Rfam family "Bacterial large subunit ribosomal RNA", at positions 1133 to 1397 of the family's 2925-position model. The record is from RNAcentral. Lineage: Bacteria; Pseudomonadati; Pseudomonadota; Gammaproteobacteria; Enterobacterales; Enterobacteriaceae.